AUGGACAAUGAAAUAAACUCAUUGGACCCGGGGGCGGUACCCGGCGCCUCCACCCAAGUAUAAUAAAAAUUAUAUUUUGGUGGGGGCGAAAUAGGAUCGACAAGAGCGUAAAGAUUGCUCUUUUACUCGGCAUUGUACCACCGUUAUCGGGCUAAAUGAGUAGUUGCAAAUGACAACUAUGCGGAAGUACGUCUCGCUGCUUAAUGGAGUGUGAAUGCUUCAAAUUAAGCC
Molecule: transfer-messenger RNA, 231 nt
Filed under: Bartonella sp.
Lineage: Bacteria; Pseudomonadati; Pseudomonadota; Alphaproteobacteria; Hyphomicrobiales; Bartonellaceae
Description: partial ssrA
Rfam family: Alphaproteobacteria transfer-messenger RNA
About the family: Bacterial tmRNA, also known as 10Sa RNA or SsrA, is named for its dual tRNA and mRNA-like properties. Its role is to liberate the mRNA from a stalled ribosome.
Source: RNAcentral